Molecule: ribosomal RNA, 492 nt
Filed under: uncultured bacterium
Lineage: Bacteria
Description: bacterial SSU rRNA
Rfam family: Bacterial small subunit ribosomal RNA
Source: RNAcentral
GAUGAACGCUAGCGGCAGGCUUAAUACAUGCAAGUCGAGGGGCAUCAAGGUACACGAAAGUGUAUUGUUGGCGACCGGCGGACGGGUGAGUAAUAGGUAGGUAACCUACCUCAUACUGAGGCAUAGCUGGGAGAAAUUCCAGGUAAUUCCUCAUGAGGUUAUAUGACACAUGUGAUAUAAUCAAAGGUAUCGCAAGGUACUGGUAUGAGAUGGGCUUACUGACCAUUAGCUAGUUGGUGAGAUAAGAGCUCACCAAGGCGAAGAUGGUUAGGGGUUUGAGAGAGAGAUCCCCCAAUUGGAACUGAGAUACGGUCCAGACUCCUACGGGAGCAGCAGUAGGGAAUAUGGGCAAUGGGCGGAAGCCUGACCCAGCCAUGCCGCGUGAAGGAAGACGGCCUUAUGGGUUGUAAACUUCUUUACUAUGCGACUAACUAGAUUUACGAGUAAUAAUUACUAAUAGAAUAGUAGUACAUAGCAAAAAAGCAACCGGUA